CCUACGGGCGGCAGCAGUGGGGAAUAUUGGACAAUGGGGGGAACCCUGAUCCAGCCAUGCCGCGUGUGUGAAGAAGGCCCUCGGGUUGUAAAGCACUUUCAGUGAGGAAGAACGCCUGGUGGUUAAUACCCAUCAGGAAAGACAUCACUCACAGAAGAAGCACCGGCUAACUCCGUGCCAGCAGCCGCGGUAAUACGGAGGGUGCGAGCGUUAAUCGGAAUUACUGGGCGUAAAGCGCGCGUAGGUGGCUUGAUAAGCCGGUUGUGAAAGCCCCGGGCUCAACCUGGGAACGGCAUCCGGAACUGUCAAGCUAGAGUGCAGGAGAGGAAGGUAGAAUUCCCGGUGUAGCCGUGAAAUGCGUAGAGAUCGGGAGCAAUACCAGUGGCGAAGGCGGCCUUCUGGACUGACACUGACACUGAGGUGCGAAAGCGUGGGUAGCAAACAGGAUUAGAUACCCGAGUAGUC
RNAcentral lists this ribosomal RNA (465 nucleotides) under Vreelandella stevensii. RNAcentral describes it as "partial 16S ribosomal RNA". It matches the Rfam family "Bacterial small subunit ribosomal RNA", at positions 338 to 795 of the family's 1533-position model. The record is from RNAcentral. Lineage: Bacteria; Pseudomonadati; Pseudomonadota; Gammaproteobacteria; Oceanospirillales; Halomonadaceae.